GCGAUCAUACCAGCACUAAUGCACCGGAUCCCAUUCGAACUGUGCAGUUUGGCAUGCUUGAGCGAAAGUAGUUCUAGGAUGAGUGACCCUCUGGGAAGUCCUCGUGUUGCACACU
This is a non-coding RNA of Ilex paraguariensis (yerba mate), 115 nucleotides long. Lineage: Eukaryota; Viridiplantae; Streptophyta; Magnoliopsida; Aquifoliales; Aquifoliaceae. The record is from the annotation of a GenBank genome assembly.